UUAUCAAGCGCUACCCGGAAGCGAUCGGUCACAUGCGAGGGGAGAGCUACACAAAUGUUUGCUACGAGGAGCCGACUAUCAGUCCGAAACCGCCGCGAAUGACUGCGCAUUUAAAUGAAAUAAGCGGAAUCGGCCAGAUCUAGAUGGCGAGCUAACCCUAAUGAACCUGAAUCAACUCAGCUGCUGAAGAUUCCUACCAGGACCCCCUCCAUCCCUCUGCUCAGCUCGGGCUGGUAGGAGGCUCCUGUAGCCGACACGAACUCUUGCACUCGCUCACGCACUUAUUCUGCGACCCAUUGCUCCAGCUACUUACACUAUUCCAUUCCCACACAUGGACGUCUCUCUGAACUGGUACAUCUGGGUCGUAUGAACUGUUAACGUUCACUCUGCGUUGGACUGUGCGUGUGAGCUCUCCAUUGAUCUGUGCGCUCCCGAUCAAUGUUGAAUUGAAUAUUAGAUUUGAAUAUUGAACUGUUGUAAAUAACCUUUGAACUGGGUAAUUAUUUGAAUAUUGAAUCCUUGUAACACAUUGUGGGUUUUACUCUUUAGAAUGGCCAUUCUCUCCCUCUGAAUGUUAAAUGUAUGUUUUGUCUUUGUCUUUAAUUAUAUUCAAUACAUGGUACCAUC
Long non-coding RNA from Melanotaenia boesemani (Boeseman's rainbowfish), 627 nucleotides. RefSeq lists it as uncharacterized. The record is from RefSeq and is a predicted model, not a curated record. NCBI's taxonomy places the organism in Eukaryota, Metazoa, Chordata, Actinopteri, Atheriniformes, Melanotaeniidae. The transcript is spliced from 3 exons.